AGCGGCCAUAUCAUUAGGAAACACCGGUUCCGGUUCGAUCAUCGAAGUUAAACAAUAUCAAGCCUAGUUAAUACCUAGAUGGCUAGCUACAUGGAAAUAUCAGGUGCUGUAAG
Non-coding RNA from Acanthosepion pharaonis, 113 nucleotides. The record is from the annotation of a GenBank genome assembly. Lineage: Eukaryota; Metazoa; Mollusca; Cephalopoda; Sepiida; Sepiidae.